RNAcentral lists this small RNA (2434 nucleotides) under Pongo abelii (Sumatran orangutan). RNAcentral describes it as "retained intron". The record is from RNAcentral. Lineage: Eukaryota; Metazoa; Chordata; Mammalia; Primates; Hominidae.
GAUAAAUCAUCUCUGUUUCAAAAAUAACCCCUCUUGAAGUUGACAAGAACAGGAAGGGAUGAAGUGUGCCAGGUAAUCUAAUAGGUGCUUCCAUAUACAUUUUCUCAUUUAUGCACCAGAACAAUGCUUCUAAGUAUCUGUUAUUCUCCAUUUUUACAAUUUAUAAAUUGCCCAAGGUAAUGUCAAAUCCAGCCCUGCCUCCUCGGGUAAUCUUUCUCCUGUGUCUGGCAGAAAUUCACACAUUUAACACCAUAGGUAGGUUUCCUCUGUUUUCCAUUUUUAUUUUUAAGGUUGGAAUUUGGGUUCUUUGAAACUCAAAUUUCUUGAGUCAUUUUAUAGGUUUUUGCUGCCUAGCUGGCCAAUUAAAAUAGAGGACUAAGAAAUGUUUCUUCUUUCUUCAUAGAAACAGUUUCGCUUGCCUCAAUUAUAUGCAGAGGUAUAUUGUCCUUCACGUUGCUCAGGUAGACCCAGUGUAAGUUACAGCUAGGAAGUUAGAAAAACAGCAGCACUAUUUUCUCUCACCUUUAUUAGUAAAAUUUGCCAAAGUUAACUCAUAUCAUUUUUAAUUUCAAGUACAUAUUUUUGAAGUAAAUCAAUUGUAUGUAUUAACUAUUCAACUAUCUCUUGGUCAUUCCAUUAUAAUAACCCUAUUUUAAUUUUUCUUUCUUUUUUAAUGCACCCAAAAGUCUUUUAUUUACUUUUUUAACUACAGCCACACUUUGAGCAGGUAUGGAACACAAUCAUUGAUUAAUCUAAUAUAUACAAUAGGGAGAACCGUAACUACAGAUUUACAGAUUGUGGAGCUGCAGCAGUUUUUCAGUAACAUGUUGGAGGAACACCAGAAGAUCAGAGUUCAUGCCAACUUACAGACAAUAAAGAAUGAAAAUCUGAAAAACAAGAAGCUAAGUGCCAGGAUGGCUGCAUGGCUAAGGAGAAACACAUAGCUUGUGGCUAUCUUUCAGCACUCCUCUUGCAUAUUAUAAUGUAGUUUGUUCACAGUUUUGUCUUCCAAUACUUUGUGCGUCUGGAAAACCACACAUUUUGUUUGUAUUUCAGUCACAUUUAUUACUCAGAGUGCCAUUCUUCUCAUAUUGUCAUGUUUGGCCCUGAGGUUGGGUGAUUGCCGACAAUUUUGCCAAUGCUGCUGUAUUUCUGGGAAAGAUGUCACUUCAUGUUGGGUUAUAAUCCCAUGGAAUUUACUUUAAAUGUCGUAUAAAAACAAAUUCACCUAAGAAAGUCUUGCUUAUUUUGUUGUGAAGGCCAGUGGAAUAUAAAAUCAAUGGCAUUAAUGAGGAGCACAUUGUUUGCUGAGGAAAAUAACAGUUUUUCCAGGCCCUAGGGUUUAUUUAGUUCAACAUUGAAGAUUGAAAAGACUAAGGAGAAGAUAACAUGACAAUAUAAAAAGACAGAAACUCAAAAAGUAUAUUCACUAGAAGACAGAAGAGUCAAAGAAAAGCAAGUUGAAAAAGAAAGAGGAGACAAUUUAACGAGCCCUAAAGGCAAGAAGUGUGUCUUCUCCUGCGCAUUUCUCUCUCCCACAGUACAUCCUGCAUUGAACCAUGCGUUGCUGGUUACUACACUUUAUGGUGUCACAAAAAGACAAAUGAUUGUAGGAUCCAUGGAAGUGCACUUAGGCUUGCUGUGGUGGAGACCAUAGUGGAGAUGAAGGCUCUGCUCUGAAGCUCUUGAUUGUGUAUUCACCGGUGGGAUGGACACCCUUUCAGCCUAAGCGUACGAGUGAAAACAAUGAUAUCAAAAGACAAUAGCAAGUAUGGGCUACUAUUUAGGGCAAAAGGAAUCUUGAAAUGAAAGAAACAGAACUAAAAGGGUAACUGGAGCAUAAUCCUUACAGUUUUGCACUCAGGGGAUUAAGUUUGAAACAUAGCAUCUUUUGGCCAAAUUGAACCUACUUGUAAUGUGGACCAACUUACUUUACACGUUUUCAUCAGUGCCAAUGUAUGGAAUUAGCUUAGUUUUCUCAUGCUUGAUUAAAACAAGACAACUAAAGCUAAUCAUUCCUCUUCUAGACUUUGUGUAUAUGAUUUAAUCUUUUAUUUUAUUUUUAUUUUUGUAGAAUGGGGGUAAAACUACAAAUCUCCACCUCAGGGUGAUAUUUUUAAAGAUUAAGGAGUAUGAUAUCAAUGAACAGUCUUUAAAGUUGUUACAUAAGCUCAAAGCAAUGUGAUCUAAGACUUUUUUCCUAUUUCUUGUGUAAGUUAAGGCAGCCAUAAAUGAAAAUACAAAACAAACGUUUGCUUUUAUAUUUGCUUCACAAGAGGAUUCUCUCUGAGUGUCAGGGGAGGCUGUGGGACUUCACCAUGUGGACAAACGAAAGCACAGGCUACUCAGACUUGGCCACAGGUCAUAGGUCAGAGAAUUUUUUCUUCAAAUGUAGAAAUGUAAAUUUUCAGCAAUAAAAUAUCUGCAUGCCUUC